RNAcentral lists this ribosomal RNA (371 nucleotides) under uncultured organism. RNAcentral describes it as "partial 16S ribosomal RNA". It matches the Rfam family "Bacterial small subunit ribosomal RNA", at positions 527 to 896 of the family's 1533-position model. The record is from RNAcentral.
GUAGGGUGCAAGCGUUAAUCGGAAUUACUGGGCGUAAAGCGUGCGCAGGCGGUUUGUAAGUCUGUCGUGAAAGCCCCGGGGGCUUAACCUGGGGAAUUGCGAUGGAGACUGCAAGGCUUGAAUCUGGCAGAGGGGGGUAGAAUUCCACGUGUAGCAGUGAAAUGCGUAGAGAUGUGGAGGAACACCGAUGGCGAAGGCAGCCCCCUGGGUCAAGAUUGACGCUCAUGCACGAAAGCGUGGGGAGCAAACAGGAUUAGAUACCCUGGUAGUCCACGCCCUAAACGAUGUCUACUAGUUGUCGGGUCUUAAUUGACUUGGUAACGCAGCUAACGCGUGAAGUAGACCGCCUGGGGAGUACGGUCGCAAGAUUA